Molecule: ribosomal RNA, 492 nt
Filed under: uncultured bacterium
Lineage: Bacteria
Description: partial 16S ribosomal RNA
Rfam family: Bacterial small subunit ribosomal RNA
Source: RNAcentral
AGUGAACGCUGGCGGUAGGCCUAACACAUGCAAGUCGAACGGCAGCACAGUAAGAGCUUGCUCUUACGGGUGGCGAGUGGCGGACGGGUGAGGAAUACAUCGGAAUCUACUUUUUCGUGGGGGAUAACGUAGGGAAACUUACGCUAAUACCGCAUACGACCUACGGGUGAAAUCAGGGGAUCUUCGGACCUUGCGCGAUUGAAUGAGCCGAUGUCGGAUUAGCUAGUUGGCGGGGUAAAGGCCCACCAAGGCGACGAUCCGUAGCUGGUCUGAGAGGAUGAUCAGCCAAACUGGAACUGAGACACGGUCCAGACUCCUACGGGAGGCAGCAGUGGGGAAUAUUGGAAAAUGGGCGCAAGCCUGAUCCAGCCAUACCGCGUGGGUGAAGAAGGCCUUCGGGUUGUAAAGCCCUUUUGUUGGGAAAGAAAAGCAGCAGGUUAAUACCCCGCUGUUCUGACGGUACCCAAAGAAUAAGCACCGGCUAACUUCGUG